This 587-nucleotide ribosomal RNA is filed under the name uncultured archaeon. RNAcentral describes it as "bacterial SSU rRNA". It matches the Rfam family "Archaeal small subunit ribosomal RNA", at positions 324 to 913 of the family's 1478-position model. The record is from RNAcentral.
UAAGGGGCGCAGCAGGCGAGAAACCUUUGCAAUGUGCGAAAGCACGACAAGGGUAAUCCGAGUGUCUCCUGCUAAAGGAGUCUUUUGUCAGUUGUAGAAUCACUGGUGAAUAAGGGGUGGGCGAGUUCUGGUGUCAGCCGCCGCGGUAAAACCAGCACCUCGAGUGGUCAGGAGGUUUAUUGGGCCUAAAGCAUCCGUAGCCGGUUGCAUAAGUUUUCGGUUAAAUCUAUGCGCUUAACGUAUAGGCCGCCGAAAAUACUGUGCAGCUAGGGAGUGGGAGAGGUACACGGUACUCGAUAGGAAGGGGUAAAAUCCUUUGAUCUAUUGAUGACCACCUGUGGCGAAGGCGGUGUACCAGAACACGUUCGACGGUGAGGGAUGAAAGCUGGGGGAGCAAACCGGAUUAGAUACCCGGGUAGUCCCAGCUGUAAACGAUGCAGACUCGGUGAUGCAUUGGCUUGUGGCCAAUGCAGUGCCGCAGGGAAGCCGUUAAGUCUGCCGCCUGGGAAGUACGUACGCAAGUAUGAAACUUAAAGGAAUUGGCGGGGGAGCACCACAAGGGGUGAAGCCGCGGUUCAAUUGGAGCA